Mus musculus (house mouse) is the source of this 363-nucleotide long non-coding RNA. RefSeq annotates it as predicted gene, 30458. The transcript has 2 exons. NCBI's taxonomy places the organism in Eukaryota, Metazoa, Chordata, Mammalia, Rodentia, Muridae. The record is from RefSeq and is a predicted model, not a curated record.
UGUGAGUCCCAAGCCAGGAUGUUGAAUUCUCUGUAAGGCAGGAAGGAAGUCUGAUGUAGCAGUGAGGAGCAUUGACCAGCCUUCCAUGGGAAGUAGAGGUUAUCGUCCCAGUAGGAGAAGGUGGCUGAGGCAGUAGAAGUGACAAGCUUGCUGUUUUGUGGGUCCCCUGUUCUCCUGACUUCAAUCACCCCUCUCCCCUCCUUCCUCAACCCAUCUGAAGUUUGCCCAUCACUUCUGGUCCACCUGCUCCAGAAAGCCCAUCCUGAACAUAGCCACAGGAAAAUAACUGUGAUCUUAUCUUUAAAGAUUUGUCUUUAAUGGCUUCUGAUUUGUUUAUUUUAAUAAAAUGAUAUUCAAUGUUGA